ACCUACGGGGGGCAGCAGUGGGGAAUAUUGCACAAUGGGGGAAACCCUGAUGCAGCGACGCCGCGUGAGUGAAGAAGUAUCUCGGUACGUAAAGCUCUAUCCGCAGGGAAGAAAAAAAGCCUCUAGCUUUGGACGGUACCUGACUAAGAAGCCCCGGCUAACUACGUGCCAGCAGCCGCGGUCAUACGUAGGGGGCAAGCGUUAUCCGGAUUUACUGGUAGUAAAGGGAGCGUAGACGGCAGCGCAAGUCUGGAGUGAAAUGCCGG
This 266-nucleotide ribosomal RNA is filed under the name uncultured bacterium. RNAcentral describes it as "partial 16S ribosomal RNA". It matches the Rfam family "Bacterial small subunit ribosomal RNA", at positions 337 to 605 of the family's 1533-position model. The record is from RNAcentral.